Molecule: ribosomal RNA, 253 nt
Filed under: uncultured bacterium
Lineage: Bacteria
Description: partial 16S ribosomal RNA
Rfam family: Bacterial small subunit ribosomal RNA
Source: RNAcentral
UACAGAGGGUGCGAGCGUUAAUCGGAAUUACUGGGCGUAAAGCGCACGUAGUCGGCUUUGCAAGUCGGGUGUGAAAUCCCCGGGCUCAACCUGGGAACUGCAUCCGAGACUGCAUUGCUAGAGUCCGGGAGAGGAGAGUGGAAUUCCUGGUGUAGCGGUGAAAUGCGCAGAUAUCAGGAAGAACACCCGUGGCGAAAGCGGCUCUCUGGAACGGUACUGACGCUGAGACGCGAAAGCGUGGGGAGCGAACAGG